CUCCAUGCUGACCGUGGCUUUAGAUUGUUACUGUAGCGUUGGCACGUGGUAACAGUCUACAGCCAUGGUCGCCAAGGGGCA
This is a non-coding RNA of Danio rerio (zebrafish), 81 nucleotides long. The record is from Rfam. NCBI's taxonomy places the organism in Eukaryota, Metazoa, Chordata, Actinopteri, Cypriniformes, Danionidae.